GCCGGUGUGAUGGAAUUGGUAGACGUACUUGACUCAAAAUCAAGCGCCGCAAGGCGUGCCGGUUCGAGUCCGGCCACCGGCACCA
RNAcentral lists this transfer RNA (85 nucleotides) under Oscillospiraceae bacterium. RNAcentral's name for it is "tRNA-Leu". It matches the Rfam family "tRNA". Rfam says of the family: Transfer RNA (tRNA) molecules are approximately 80 nucleotides in length. Their secondary structure includes four short double-helical elements and three loops (D, anti-codon, and T loops). RNAcentral also lists the same sequence under 1 other name. Lineage: Bacteria; Bacillati; Bacillota; Clostridia; Eubacteriales; Oscillospiraceae. The record is from RNAcentral.